CCUCCACUGAGACCUCACGGAAGUGCCAGUGUAGAGACUUGUAGCAAAGAGGUCAAUACUGCAAAAAGAAGUGGGGCCCAUCUUGCAAUUAAAGGAAGAGGCUCUCCUGCAGAGAAGGUCUGCAUCAAGAAAAUCUAAGCCCUUUCUGAAUACGCAUGCUUUUGAUGCAGCACUGACAGGAGUAGCAAGAGGGCUGGAAUUUGUCUUUUUGGCCCAGCAUGAAGCAAGAAAAGCAUGUACUGCCAUGCACAAGACAGAAGAGCUAUUGCUUCUCCCUACAGCACCAGCUGUAGAGAUCUUUUCCUGCAUUCAGGAGAUACCUUCAUCUGUCUGCGUGCGACUGCCAACCUGAGGAAUGGAAGGAAAAAUGAGUCUGCCUCUGACUACUUGUUCCCAUGGCAGAGCAGACCUGGAGGUUAUCCCAGCCACUGCUGCAACGUUACAGGUCUCAGGAGCACUGAGCUGCCGCGGCCACAGCGAGCACUGCUUACCAGAGACCGCCACGUUCGUUCCUACUGAAUCCGCUUGGAAAAACUGCUGCUGGGAGGGGACGUCAGCUGUAAAUGCUACCAGGGGCGCUUGGAGAAAGAAGGGAGACCCUGAUUUGAGCUUCCCAGGGUUUUGUGGAUCACCGUCAAACUCAUUUCCUCCAGACUUCACUUAAAAAAGAAUUCUCUGGAAACUGAUGUUUGUGCACCCACAGUUCUGAAAUUCUAGCAAGAAAGAUGUAGCCCAGGCGUUGUUGCUGCUGUUGCACUUGUUCCUGCUCCUUUUACAUCUUCCUCUCUGCUUCCCUGUCUACUCGACAAGUAAUUCCACACAGGUAUGCAUGGUCUUGCACUCUCCCCACUAAUUUUUUAGAGUGGUUUAUGGGCUCAUGGAAAUUUGGAUCAUUAUCACAGGCCUGAAAUUUCCACUAAGUUUCGUGAUUUUUGUGAACAGUGUGAACCACCUCCUCAGACCAGCUUACAGCAAAGCCUAGUAGGGUGCCCACAAGCGCCAGCAGGGCGUGCAAAUCAGUCCCGCAGCAGCUGCAGGGAGAGGCAGUCUGCUGCGGGAGCUGGGGGAUGCUGGGUGCUUGGCAGGUGCUGAAAUGUUUAAGAGAGAGAGGAUUCAUGCAAUAUGCUUCAGUUCCAAUCAGAGCUGUCCUCUCCCACCAUGAUCAGGGGUCAGUUAGGAGCCAAGGAGUCUCAGUGAUGAGUGAAGCCCCUAAAGGGACCGGUAUUGCUGAUGUUUGGAUGCCUUAAUACCCCAGCCCCAAAUUGCAAGGUCCCCAUCUACAACUUGGGUSGCUUGGUAGACCUGACUUGGGCUGGGUUCAUUUUUGCAACAUGUAACUGGAAAAAAUCAAUUGUUUUUCAUCUUUCUCUUUGAAACCAAAUAUACAAUUUCUGCCACUCCACAACUUAAGUGCCUGAUUCCUCUCUGAUCCGUACCACUUUACUCCUGCGUAAGACUCUGUUGAAUACAAUAGUGUUCCUAAUUCCCAUGGUAGCAAUACGGUCCAGAAAAUAGUCAUGAUCCUCCCUGGUCUGUUCCUGGCUUUGGCCUCCACUGUGGGAACCUGACUCACAGUGGAGCUUAAUAUACAAUUAUUGGGCUUAAUAUAUGAUUCAGCCAGUAAAAUUCCUUCAGACUGUGAAAACCAGAAGCCAGCUGUCUUCAGUAUUCAUCCCCGUGUGGUUUUGGCAUUUUGCUGGAGGUUCACUGAUGUGACAACUGGUGCGUUUCCAAAAAGCCCUUUUCCCAUUUUCAGCAGUCUUGUGUUCUGAAGCUAUCUAGUGAAAACGGAGUAUAAAAUUCAUAGUUGAAGAAAAAAAGUCACUUAAAUUGGUCCUUUCCAAGGUUUUGAGACUGUCUGUGAGUCAUCAGUCCAGCAUAAGAAAACUCAGCAUUUUAUCUUCAGCUUAAGCAUGCUUGCAAAUCAGAAGAGUUUUAUUGGAGCUUGGGUGCUAGAAAUUGGGCCUAGUUUGAAAUCUGGAACAUGGAAAACACCCUGGUACCUUGAGCUGCCCACUUUGCGAGGCUGAACUGAAAAAGGUGAUCCAAACCUUUCUGGACACUGGAGAUGUCUGGAGCCAGGCUUCGUUGGUCAUAUCAUGGCAUGUCUGGCUUGUGAUCUGGACUGAGAAAUAGGGGGCUGUGGGGAAGGGAGAAGGGAGACACUGGCACCUCUUUCCCUGAGAGAAGCAGCAAGCUUUGUCACGGUGCUCAGGACAGCAGCGGGAGACACUGCCAGCUGAACAACAUCCCUACAGGGGCAUGAACUGCUGCUCAGCCAGGCAUGGUGAGCCCUGUCUCUGCCUGGCGAGGCUUGCUGCUGACUGCAGCAAGCUCCAACCAAGGACAUCCUGUUUCUCCCCAAGAAGAGGCAAAGUACUUUCCUCAGCACAUUCCCCUUGCCCACCAUGCAGCAUCUUGUUUGCACAAGCUUCUGCUGUCUGUCUGUCCCUCUACUCUUACUAGGCAAUGCCUUUGGUUUCCUUUCUCUUACUAGCCAGGGCAAGAUUUAGCCAGGCGACUCUGGUCUAUAUGCCACUGGUUGAGCAGAAUGAAAACUCUGCUCUCAGAGUCCUCUCUGGUAUCACAGAUUGUGGCAUUCAGGAGAAGAAACUGGGAGUUUGCUCAGACAUGGCAGCUGAAAACAGGUAAACUGCAAAUGAAUGAGUUAGCUUACUUUGAGAAGUUGCUGCCCCCCCCCCCCCCCCCCCCCCCCCCCCCCCCCCCCAUUUUGGAAGCUGUUGCUUUGUCAGCUGAGAGGCAGAGUAGUCACGUGUGUGCCAGGCUGUUCUCUGCAAAAUAAAACAGCUGUGCUUGAACCA
Molecule: long non-coding RNA, 2822 nt
Organism: Dromaius novaehollandiae (emu)
Lineage: Eukaryota; Metazoa; Chordata; Aves; Casuariiformes; Dromaiidae
Source: Ensembl